UUUUAUUUGUAUUUGUUAACAGUUUGUUUUUAAUUUUGAAAUUUUAUUUUGUAUAUAAGACAGACCUAGAAACGGUCAAUUUUAAUGAUAAGUAAAAUAGCUUAAUGCCCAAGUUUAUUUUUUUAAGAUAUGGUAGAUGCCAGAGCAAUAAACUUCUAUUAACAAUAGUACAGGCAUCUUGUUACGACUUGAUGUGCACAUUUAAUUAGAUGUUUUUAUUUUGAUAAUUUGAAAGUUUUGUACAAAUCACAUAAUUAUUCUCUAUCCCUUGUAUUAGGAGUCUAAAGACCAGCCAAGUAGUGAGACAUGUUUUGUGUUAAAAAAUAAGAUUACCGGUUUAAUCAUAAUAUUUAUAAUGAAGUUUUCUUUCAUACUUACAGAAGAUAAAGAAAAUAAAUUUGAUAUUCCAAGUCCUGAUUACAUUGAAAGAAUAGGUGAAACAGGAUUAUUAAACACUUACUACUGCAUAAAACAUUUCAAACCAAUCUCUAAAUUAUAUAUUGAAGUGUUUUCUAUAGUAAUAUCAUAAAGGAGUAAGUUCGGUAAGGGCCAUAUUUGGCCCCGAUUAUAAAAUUGAAUGGUACAAGAUAAAAUAUGUUUUAAGUUGUCUCAAAGACAUGUGAGAAAGUAAACUAGAACUCUUUGUGUCAAAGUUUUAUUCUAAAGCGUUGAUUUUUAUAUCCAAAGUAGGUCAAAAUAAGAGAGUUUGACGAAAUAUGACAAAAUUGGCCAGAUUUCAACCAAAUUUAGGACCAGCAAACAUAGAGCGCAGGCAUCGGUAAACUUAAUAUUCAAGUUAUCCAUUCAAAAUAUCAUUAUAAACAAUGUGUUCAAAGAUCUUUUUUGUCGACGUAUGCGCUCUAUGUUUCCUGUCCAAUAAUCAAUGCAAAAUUUACCAAUUUUCAUUGAUUUUCAUAGAAAAUAGAAAUGAAUACUGUUUUUGACAUCAUCAGUAGAACGCAGGAACGUAAAUUUUCAAAAAAAGGGAUCAUUUCCUAUUUAGUCAUUGUGAUAUUGGUCAAUAAAUUCUAAUUUAAAAUUUAAGGUAAAAAAGAGGGCCAUUUUAGGGCCUUAUAGAACCUACUCCUUUAUGACUGAGUUUCACAAAUUAUUUAUCAAUUGCUGCAUAGGCGAAUUACAAGAUAAACUUGCAAUGUAUAACUUCAUGGGUUGUCACUAUAAUCAAGGGAGAUAACUAUUAUGAUAAUGAGAGACAAUUGUUGAUAAAAACUUAGUUCUUUUUGUUACUGGUAUUUUAGCAAAACAUUUCACAUUUGUUGCAAUAAUUAAAUUUUUUAUUACCCAUUUACUGUGAAAUUGAGAAAAAAAACAUGAAAUAACAAAGAAAUUCUGUAAUGCUUUAAUGAAAGAUAUUGAAAUUGUCAAUGAAGUUUAUUGCUCUGUGUAAAUGGAAAAGUAUCCAUAAUAAAAUUCUAAGAUUAAAGUAUAAUUAGGGUAUUUGUAAAACAGUUGUCUAUUACUUGAACAGUUCUAACAAGAAAAUAUUUCCUACUAAGGUAAUUAAUCAUAGGUACGUCUGGUGAUAGUUUUAUAAAUGUUUAUCAGUGUUUCCUUGUUAUAUUUUCCAGUUAUGGAAGGAAAAAGGUAGACUAAAAAUGUUUUGUUAUUUAAAUUCUUAUUCUCAGUACUGUUCCAACAGUUUGAUUUAUCAAAAAUAUCAGAGGAUUUCUUUUAAAUUGAAUUUGUUUUGAGUAAUGAUAUAUUAUAACUUACCAUUGUUUUAACAUUAUAAUUUUACAACAGAUUAUGAGACAGUUUACAAAUUUAAAAACAGUUGUAACAAGUUAUUGCAUACAUUUUCAUCAUACAUGUACAUCACAACUAUCAUGGUCAUUAA
RNAcentral lists this long non-coding RNA (1858 nucleotides) under Mytilus galloprovincialis (Mediterranean mussel). The record is from RNAcentral. Lineage: Eukaryota; Metazoa; Mollusca; Bivalvia; Mytilida; Mytilidae.